This 375-nucleotide ribosomal RNA is filed under the name uncultured organism. RNAcentral describes it as "partial 16S ribosomal RNA". It matches the Rfam family "Bacterial small subunit ribosomal RNA", at positions 527 to 896 of the family's 1533-position model. The record is from RNAcentral.
GUAGGUGGCAAGCGUUGUCCGGAAUUAUUGGGCGUAAAGCGCGCGCAGGCGGUCCUUUAAGUCUGAUGUGAAAGCCCACGGCUCAACCGUGGAGGGUCAUUGGAAACUGGGGGACUUGAGUACAGAAGAGGAAAGCGGAAUUCCACGUGUAGCGGUGAAAUGCGUAGAGAUGUGGAGGAACACCAGUGGCGAAGGCGGCUUUCUGGUCUGUAACUGACGCUGAGGCGCGAAAGCGUGGGGAGCAAACAGGAUUAGAUACCCUGGUAGUCCACGCCGUAAACGAUGAGUGCUAAGUGUUAGGGGGUUUCCCGCCCCCCUUAGUGCUGCAGCUAACGCAUUAAGCACUCCGCCUGGGGGAGUACGGCCGCAAGGCUG